This 468-nucleotide ribosomal RNA is filed under the name uncultured bacterium. RNAcentral describes it as "partial 16S ribosomal RNA". It matches the Rfam family "Bacterial small subunit ribosomal RNA", at positions 28 to 507 of the family's 1533-position model. The record is from RNAcentral.
GAUGAACGCUGGCGGCGUGCUUAACACAUGCAAGUCGAACGGUGAAGGCGGAGCUUGCUCUGCUGGAUCAGUAGCGAACGGGUGAGUAACACGUGAGCAAUCUGCCCCUGACUCUGGGAUAAGCGCUGGAAACGGCGUCUAAUACUGGAUACGAGCUGCGAAGGCAUCUUCAGCAGCUGGAAAGAACUUCGGUCAGGGAUGAGCUCGCGGCCUAUCAGCUUGUUGGUGAGGUAACGGCUCACCAAGGCGUCGACGGGUAGCCGGCCUGAGAGGGUGACCGGCCACACUGGGACUGAGACACGGCCCAGACUCCUACGGGAGGCAGCAGUGGGGAAUAUUGCACAAUGGGCGAAAGCCUGAUGCAGCAACGCCGCGUGAGGGACGACGGCCUUCGGGUUGUAAACCUCUUUUAGCAGGGAAGAAGCGAAAGUGACGGUACCUGCAGAAAAAGCGCCGGCUAACUACGUG